This 774-nucleotide ribosomal RNA is filed under the name uncultured Neocallimastigales. RNAcentral's name for it is "partial large subunit ribosomal RNA". It matches the Rfam family "Eukaryotic large subunit ribosomal RNA", at positions 22 to 616 of the family's 3401-position model. Lineage: Eukaryota; Fungi; Neocallimastigomycota; Neocallimastigomycetes; Neocallimastigales. The record is from RNAcentral.
UAGAUGCGAGAGUAGAGCAUAUCAAUAAGCGGAGGAAAAGAAACUAACAAGGAUUCCCUUAGUAACGGCGAGUGAAGCGGGAAGAGCUCAAAUUUGAAAUCUUCAAGGUUCUACCUUGACGAAUUGUAGUUUAAAGAAGUGUUUUCUGUUAGAUGAGUAGCAAAAGUUCCUUGGAAUGGGACAUCAUAGAGGGUGAGAAUCCCGUAUUUGGUUAUUCAUUCUAGCUUUGUGAUACACUUUCAAAGAGUCGGAUUGUUUGGGAAUGCAGUCCAAAAUGGGUGGUAAAUUUCAUCUAAGGCUAAAUAUUGGCGAGAGACCGAUAGCGAACAAGUACCGUGAGGGAAAGAUGAAAAGAACUUUGAAAAGAGAGUUAAACAGUACGUGAAAUUGUCAAAAGGGAGGCGUUUGACACCAGUGUUGUUUUUCCGAAAAUCAAUUAAGAAAUGGUUGAUUUUGUGUUGUAUUGACCUUAUCAGCUUUCUGCACUUUUUUCGAGUCUUUCUUAAUGCACUUUUCGGCUAACAAGUCAACAUCAAUUUCUUUUGUUGUAAAAGAGUAUUCGGAAGGUGGCUUUCUUUUCGGAGAAAGUGUUUAUAGCCCUAUACUUCUACAAUCGGAGAGAUUGAGGUCUGCAGCGUAGAUCCUUCGGGGUUAGAUACACUUGUGCUAAGUUGUAGCUUUUCAUAGACAACUUGUUGACUAUGUUUAGUCAUGCGGCUUACUCGCUUGUGCUAUUUUACCUACGCUUAGGAUGUUGAGCGCAUGUCUCUCUCU